Molecule: long non-coding RNA, 484 nt
Organism: Dermochelys coriacea (leatherback sea turtle)
Lineage: Eukaryota; Metazoa; Chordata; Testudines; Dermochelyidae
Exons: 3
Source: RefSeq, a predicted model, not a curated record
CCAUUGGCCGCAGAUCCUGGCCAAUGGGAGCUGCAGGGGUGGCACCUGCGGAUGGGGCAGCAGACGGAGCCUCUGGGCUGCCCCUAAACAUAGGAGCCUGAGGGGGGACAUGCUACUGCUUUCGGGAGCCACAGCACACGCAUGAGGAGCAACCCCCGACCCCGCUGCCUGGUUGGAGCAUGGGAGUGGGGCAAGCCCCAGACCCUGCUCCCCAGCGGGAGCUUGAGGGCCGGAUUAAAUCAGCUGGUGGGCUGGAUGUGGCCUGCGGUCUGUAGUUUGCCCAACCCUUCUUUAGGAUCUCAGAACUUGUGUCAAAGGAGAAACUGAUAGCAGUAGUAGAAUGUCAUUCUCCAUAUGGACCAGCACUAGAAAGGAUGAGGCAUACACAUGGACAGCAAAGGAACAGAGACACUCAGGAAUCUUGGGUUCCAUCCCAGGUACUGCAGUGUAACAUGUUCUAGUCCUCUGAUAGAGAAAGAAGAGG